GGAAAUUGUUAGAAAAGGCAAUUGAGAAUAAUUAAUUAAGCUUUUACGAUCGAUGGAUACGGAUUUUUGCUGCGGGCAAGGAAUAACGAAGUUUAAACGAAGAUUGCGGCAUCAACGAAAUUAUGUAAUUUUAUUAGACAACGAACGGUGCAAACAAAUAUUUCUUCAAUCUAUUGCUCUUAGCGGAGGAUGUCAGAGGUCGCGGAAUACGAAUAACAGUCAAGGUUUCGAGAUUUCGAGAAGUCGAGUGGUUGGAGAGGAAUCGUUUUGCUGCUAGCUUGGAAUCUUAAAUUACGUGCAGACUGGGUUACAAUCGUUGGAAACACUGUAUCAGUUACAUGAUUGUAAAUGCAAAAUUGAUUAUACAGGAAUUGACAUGUUUUUUAUCCAUGUGAUCAUAUUUUUAUACACUUUGACUCAAAGGAUACUAUAAGGAAUAUGAGAUUAAAUUAUAAAUCGUUAUGCGCUAUUAUUACAUCACCGGAUGAUAUACAAUAGUGAUAUGAAACGAGAAUACACAAACCCACUUUAAAAAAAUUACCUGAUUUGUAUCUCAAUUUCUACGCAAUUUAAUCGUAUCUUCAAUUCAAUCAGAGAUGAUUUUAUCAAUUUAAAUUUUUACUUUUCUUCCAGGAUUAAUUUUUAUCGCUUAAUUUUCCACCAAUAAAAGUUACAAGAUAUAUAGUUGGAAGAUUAAAAAAGAAAUUGAAAAACAAAAUUAGGAAAAUUUCUAAAGAUUUUUUUGCUGCUUUUAAGUAAGAGUUGAUUAAAUUUUUCGGAAAACGUGUCUUUAGAGGAGAAUAAAAGAUCCGCAUAGACAACAUGGAUUGAUACUUGAGAAUAUUGCGCAAGUACCAUAUAACUAUACGCCGACGCGGUUAAUCGCGAAACAAACGCGAGAAAAUUUAAACGAUAGAAAGUCGAAUGGUUUAGACAUAUAUAUCAAUGUAUAUAAGAUAUAAAUACACAUAUAGAUGAUUCGUAUAUUAUCUUACGAAUAUUUAUACAAUAUUUUACAAGAAAUUCACCUAAUUUCAUAAAACUUUGGUUUUAAUGAA
This is a long non-coding RNA of Apis laboriosa (Himalayan honeybee), 1058 nucleotides long. RefSeq lists it as uncharacterized. NCBI's taxonomy places the organism in Eukaryota, Metazoa, Arthropoda, Insecta, Hymenoptera, Apidae. The record is from RefSeq and is a predicted model, not a curated record. The transcript is spliced from 4 exons.